CACAAGCAGUGAAGUUCAAAGGACCUUCUUCAAGCGUACUGCUGUUCAUGUCCAAAAAACAGAUGGAGUCAAAGAUGUUACUAAACUUCCAUGGAUUACAAGACUCAUGACCGUCAACUGUCCUGAAGGAAACUCAACUACACUGAAGGAAACCAGCUAAGGGGUGACAGGAGACCGAGACAACUCUGUGGCUCCACAACCGGUAAA
RNAcentral lists this long non-coding RNA (207 nucleotides) under Lepisosteus oculatus (spotted gar). Its description in RNAcentral is "lncRNA (ENSLOCG00000021436.1)". Lineage: Eukaryota; Metazoa; Chordata; Actinopteri; Semionotiformes; Lepisosteidae. The record is from RNAcentral.